GACGAACGCUGGCGGCGUGCUUAACACAUGCAAGUCGAACGGAAAGGCCCCUUCGGGGGUACUCGAGUGGCGAACGGGUGAGUAACACGUGAGUAACCUGCCCUUGACUUCGGGAUAACUUCAGGAAACUGGGGCUAAUACCGGAUAGGAAUCCUUGCUGCAUGGUGGGGGUUGGAAAGCUUCGGCGGUUUUGGAUGGACUCGCGGCUUAUCAGCUUGUUGGUGGGGUAGUGGCUUACCAAGGCUUUGACGGGUAGCCGGCCUGAGAGGGCGACCGGCCACAGUGGGACUGAGAUACGGCCCAGACUCCUACGGGAGGCAGCAGGGGGGAAUAUUGCACAAUGGGCGGAAGCCUGAUGCAGCAACGCCGCGUGCGGGAUGACGGCCUUCGGGUUGUAAACCGCUUUCAGCAGGGGCGAAGCUUGUGGUGACGGUACCUGCAGAAGAAGCACCGGAUAACUACGUG
RNAcentral lists this ribosomal RNA (465 nucleotides) under uncultured bacterium. Its description in RNAcentral is "partial 16S ribosomal RNA". It matches the Rfam family "Bacterial small subunit ribosomal RNA", at positions 28 to 507 of the family's 1533-position model. The record is from RNAcentral.